AGAGUUGAUUCCCAUGGCUCAGGAUGAACGCUGGCGGCGUGCUUAACACAUGCAAGUCGAACGAUGAAGCCCAGCUUGCUGGGUGGAUUAGUGGCGAACGGGUGAGUAACACGUGAGUAACCUGCCCUUGACUCUGGGAUAAGCCUGGGAAACUGGGUCUAAUACCGGAUAGGAACGUCCACCGCAUGGUGGUUGUUGGAAAGAUUUAUCGGUCAUGGAUGGACUCGCGGCCUAUCAGCUUGUUGGUGAGGUAAUGGCUCACCAAGGCGACGACGGGUAGCCGGCCUGAGAGGGUGACCGGCCACACUGGGACUGAGACACGGCCCAGACUCCUACGGGAGGCAGCAGUGGGGAAUAUUGCACAAUGGGCGAAAGCCUGAUGCAGCGACGCCGCGUGAGGGAUGACGGCCUUCGGGUUGUAAACCUCUUUCAGUAGGAAGAAGCGAAAGUACGG
RNAcentral lists this ribosomal RNA (454 nucleotides) under Micrococcus sp. LNA60. RNAcentral describes it as "bacterial SSU rRNA". It matches the Rfam family "Bacterial small subunit ribosomal RNA", at positions 8 to 460 of the family's 1533-position model. Lineage: Bacteria; Bacillati; Actinomycetota; Actinomycetes; Micrococcales; Micrococcaceae. The record is from RNAcentral.